UCAGAGCAGUCUGCUGGGCCCACGUGGGCUGAUGACCACACGGGGGAUGCAGUUUCUGGUUCUGGGCCUCUGCUGCAUUCUCUCGGGGGUGGGUACUGACAGGACGCUGGCUUGGUAAACACUGGAGGACUUGAAGAUAGGGCCACCGGGCAUCUUGAGGGACAGGGACGUCCCUCAGUCCUAGAGGGCUUGGAAGGGGGUGGGCUGUGACCAGCAGGCUGGAGGCGGUGGUCGGCACACCCAGAGCGAGCUGUGUUUGUCCAGUGCUCUGCCCGCAUACAGGACUUGGGGGGGCUGUGGACAGGGCCUGCCUCCCCGCUGCCUGUGUACAUGCGGGUCUCUGGCCUGGUGAGUGGCCAGGCGGGAGGGCGGUGGGUCCCAGAGGUGCUGAGGCCGCCUGUCCCUGCAGAUCCACAAGCUGCUGCAGGUGUCUGUGCUGGUGGUGGAGCUCCUGGAUUCAGGCUCCUCCGUGCUGGUGGGCCUGGAGGACGGCUGGGACAUCACCACCCAGGUGUGUGGCGUGUGGGGCUGGGGUGGGCCAGGCUCCCGGGCUCCUCGCUGACCUCCUGGCGGUGCUGGCAGGUGGUAUCCUUGGUGCAGCUGCUCUCAGACCCCUUCUACCGCACGCUGGAGGGCUUUCGCCUGCUGGUGGAGAAGGAGUGGCUGUCCUUCGGCCAUCGCUUCAGCCACCGUGGAGCCCACACCCUGGCCGGGCAGAGCAGCGGCUUCACACCCGUCUUCCUGCAGUUCCUGGACUGCGUACACCAGGUCCACCUGCAGUUCCCCAUGGAGUUUGAGUUCAGCCAGUUCUACCUCAAGUUCCUCGGCUACCACCAUGUGUCCCGCCGUUUCCGGACCUUCCUGCUCGACUCUGACUAUGAGCGCAUUGAGCUGGGUAUGUGGAGAGUCGGGGCUGGGGCAGCCACGGGUCAGGAGGGGCCCAGGCUCAGUGCUGCUUCUGUGCAGGGCUGCUGUAUGAGGAGAAGGGGGAACGCAGGGGCCAGCUGCCGUGCAGGUCUGUGUGGGAGUAUGUGGACCGGCUGAGCAAGAGGACGCCUGUGUUCCACAAUUACAUGUAUGCGCCCGAGGACGCAGAGGUAAGCUGGGGCCUGGGUCGGGUAGGCGGCUCCUGCCCGACCCAGGUCCUCAACCACAGGCCCACCCUCAGGUCCUGCGGCCCUACAGCAACGUGUCCAACCUGAAGGUGUGGGACUUCUACACUGAGGAGACGCUGGCCGAGGGCCCUCCCUAUGACUGGGAACUGGCCCAGGGGCCCCCUGAACCCCCAGAGGAAGAACGGUCUGAUGGAGGCGCUCCCCAGAGCAGGCGCCGCGUGGUGUGGCCCUGUUACGACAGCUGCCCGCGGGCCCAGCCUGACGCCAUCUCACGCCUGCUGGAGGAGCUGCAGAGGCUGGAGACAGAGUUGGGCCGACCCACUGAGCGCUGGAAGGACACCUGGGACCGGGUGAAGGCUGCACAGCGCCUCGAGGGCCGGCCCGACGGCCGUGGCACCCCUAGCUCCCUCCUCGUGUCCACCGCACCCCACCACCGUCGCUCGCUGGGUGUGUACCUGCAGGAGGGGCCUGUGGGCUCCACCCUGAGCCUCAGCCUGGACAGCGACCAGAGUAGUGGCUCAACCACAUCCGGCUCCCGCCAGGCUGCCCGCCGCAGCACCAGCACCCUGUACAGCCAGUUCCAGACAGCAGAGAGUGAGAACAGGUCCUACGAGGGCACUCUGUACAAGAAGGGGGCCUUCAUGAAGCCUUGGAAGGCCCGCUGGUUCGUGCUGGACAAGACCAAGCACCAGGUGAGUGAUCAGGUGGUGGGGGGUACUCACGGGGGAGGGGGCUCCGCUGACUCUGUGGCCUCCUCCAGCUGCGCUACUACGACCACCGUGUGGACACAGAGUGCAAGGGUGUCAUCGACUUGGCGGAGGUGGAGGCUGUGGCACCUGGCACGCCCACUAUGGGUGCCCCUAAGACUGUGGACGAGAAGGCCUUCUUUGACGUGAAGACAACGCGUCGCGUUUACAACUUCUGUGCCCAGGACGUGCCCUCGGCCCAGCAGUGGGUGGACCGGAUCCAGAGCUGCCUGUCGGACGCCUGAGCCUCCCAGCCCUGCCCGGUUGCUCUGCUUCCAGUCAUUACCGACCACUAGGGGUGGGCAGGGCCGCCCCGGCCAUGUUUACAGCCCCGGCCCUCGACAGUAUUGAGGCCCCGAGCCCCCAGCACUUGUGUGUACAGCCCCCGUCCCCGCCCCGCCCCGCCCGGCCGGCCCUAACUUAUUUUGGCGUCACAGCUGAGCACCGUGCCGGGAGGUGGCCAAGGUACAGCCCGCAAUGGGCCUGUAAAUAGUCCGGCCCCGUCAGCGUGUGCUGGUCCAGCCAGCGGCUGCAGGCGAGUUUCUAGAACCAGAGUCUAUA
RNAcentral lists this small RNA (2422 nucleotides) under Pan troglodytes (chimpanzee). RNAcentral describes it as "retained intron". Lineage: Eukaryota; Metazoa; Chordata; Mammalia; Primates; Hominidae. The record is from RNAcentral.